GGAUUCCUUGCUUAUGAAGUAGCCUUAAAAAAGCUCCAUCAUUGUACCUCUUUUCCCUCAGUGAUCUUUCUUUUUCCUUCAUCUCUUACUGCUAUUAUUGUUCCCUACAAUUCCUUUCCUCUUUAUACUUUAUUUUCUGACUUUCUUCCUUUUUCAGGCACCAAGACUUCCUUUGCCUGGAUUGAUUUUAUACCAUCAAGUCAUAUUGGCAACAUGAUUUCUUUGUUCUCCCCCUUAGAUUUUUG
RNAcentral lists this unclassified non-coding RNA (245 nucleotides) under Hevea brasiliensis (rubber tree). Lineage: Eukaryota; Viridiplantae; Streptophyta; Magnoliopsida; Malpighiales; Euphorbiaceae. The record is from RNAcentral.